Molecule: ribosomal RNA, 255 nt
Filed under: uncultured bacterium
Lineage: Bacteria
Description: partial 16S ribosomal RNA
Rfam family: Bacterial small subunit ribosomal RNA
Source: RNAcentral
UACAGAGGCCACGAGCGUUAGGCGGAAUCACUGGGCUUAAAGCGUGUGUAGGUGGAUGACUAAGUACCUUGUGAAAUCCCACGGCUCAACCGUGGAACUGCUUGGUAUACUGGUUGUCUUGAGGCACUCAGGGGCGAGCGGAACAGAUGGUGGAGCGGUGAAAUGCGUAGAUAUCAUCUGGAACGCCAAUGGUGAAGACAGCUCGCUGGGGGGUGUACUGACACUGAGACACGAAAGCCAGGGGGAGCAAACGGG